AUGUUAAUCGGGGGGGAUUUCAACAUCCUUCGAUAUCAGCAGGAAAAAAACAACGAUCGGGUUGACACUAGGUGGCCUUUCCUCUUUAAUGCUGUUAUUGACAGCCUCGACCUGAGGGAGAUCACGAUGUCUGGUCGUCAGUAUACCUGGGCCAACAACCGUUCGGUGCCGACCUUUGAAAAACUGGACCGGGUGCUAGUUACCACUGACUGGGAAUACAAAUAUCCCUAG
RNAcentral lists this ribosomal RNA (231 nucleotides) under Triticum aestivum (bread wheat). Its description in RNAcentral is "partial small subunit ribosomal RNA". The record is from RNAcentral. Lineage: Eukaryota; Viridiplantae; Streptophyta; Magnoliopsida; Poales; Poaceae.